CGCCCGCCCGCCAGAGAAUUACAAGUGAAAAGCUUGAAACUCAAAGGACUUGACGGUGUCCCACAUCCCCCUAGAGGAGCCUGUCCUAUAAUCGAUACUCCACGCUAAACCUCCCCUACCCUAGUACUUCAUCAGCCUAUAUACCGCCGUCGCCAGCCUGCCUAGUGAUAGCCACACAGCAAGCAAAAAAGACCCCCCCCCUAAUACGUCAGGUCAAGGUGUAGCUCAUGGGUGGGUAAGAGAUGGGCUACNUUUUCUAAUCACCAGAAAAUCUACCACAAGCUGUGUGAAACCNCAGCCCCCCGGCGGAUUUAGCAGUAAAUUCGGGCAAGAUGAGCCUAGUUGAAGCCAGCCCUGGGACGCGUACACACCGCCCGUCACCCUCCUCAAAACAUAACCCUUAGACAAAAUAAUUAAACCCCCCCCCACACCACAAGAUGAGGUAAGUCGUAACAUGGUAAGCCCACCGGAAGGCGGGCUUGGCUCUCC
RNAcentral lists this ribosomal RNA (489 nucleotides) under Phyllodactylus davisi (Davis' leaf-toed gecko). Its description in RNAcentral is "partial 12S ribosomal RNA". It matches the Rfam family "Bacterial small subunit ribosomal RNA", at positions 862 to 1527 of the family's 1533-position model. The record is from RNAcentral. Lineage: Eukaryota; Metazoa; Chordata; Lepidosauria; Squamata; Phyllodactylidae.